RNAcentral lists this ribosomal RNA (497 nucleotides) under uncultured bacterium. RNAcentral describes it as "partial 16S ribosomal RNA". It matches the Rfam family "Bacterial small subunit ribosomal RNA", at positions 28 to 507 of the family's 1533-position model. The record is from RNAcentral.
GACGAACGCUGGCGGCGUGCCUAAUACAUGCAAGUUGAGCGAUGAAGAUUGGUGCUUGCACCAAUUUGAAGAGCAGCGAACGGGUGAGUAACGCGUGGGGAAUCUGCCUUUGAGCGGGGGACAACAUUUGGAAACGAAUGCUAAUACCGCAUAACAACUUUAAACAUAAGUUUUAAGUUUGAAAGAUGCAAUUGCAUCACUCAAAGAUGAUCCCGCGUUGUAUUAGCUAGUUGGUGAGGUAAAGGCUCACCAAGGCGAUGAUACAUAGCCGACCUGAGAGGGGGAUCGGCCACAUUGGGACGGGGAAACGGCCCAAACUGCUACAGGAGGGAGCAAUAGGGAAUCUUCGGCAAUGGACGAAAGUCUGACCGAACAACGCCGCGGGAGUGAAGAAGGGUGUCGGAUCGUAAAACUCUGUUGGUAGGGAAGAACGUUGGUGAGAGUGGAAAGCUCAUCAAGUGACGGUAACUACACAGAAAGGGACGGCUAACUACGUG